Molecule: ribosomal RNA, 445 nt
Filed under: uncultured bacterium
Lineage: Bacteria
Description: SSU rRNA
Rfam family: Bacterial small subunit ribosomal RNA
Source: RNAcentral
AGAACGAACGCUGGCGGCAGGCUUAACACAUGCAAGUCGAGCGCCCAGCAAUGGGAGCGGCGGACGGGUGAGUAACACGUGGGAACAUGCCCUUUGGUACGGGACAACUCAGGGAAACUUGAGCUAAUACCGUAUGUGCCGGUAACGGGAAAGAUUUAUCGCCAAAGGAAUGGCCCGCGUCCGAUUAGCUAGUUGGUGAGGUAAUGGCUCACCAAGGCACCGAUCGGUAGCUGGUUUGAGAGAACGACCAGCCACACUGGGACUGAGACACGGCCCAGACUCCUACGGGAGGCAGCAGUGGGGAAUCUUGGACAAUGGGGGCAACCCUGAUCCAGCCAUGCCGCGUGAGUGAUGAAGGCCUUCGGGUUGUAAAACUCGUUUCGACGGGGACGAUAAUGACGGUACCCGUAGAAGAAGCUCCGGCUAACUUCGCGCCAGCAGCCGC